GCGUUACCCGGAUUCACUGGGCGUAAAGGGCGUGUAGGCGGCCUGGGGCGUCCCAUGUGAGAGACCACGGCUCAACCGUGGGGGAGCGUGGGAUACGCUCAGGCUAGACGGUGGGAGAGGGUGGUGGAAUUCCCGGAGUAGCGGUGAAAGGCGCAGAUACCGGGAGGAACGCCGAUGGCGAAGGCAGCCACCUGGUCCACCCGUGACGCUCAGGCGCGAAAGCGUG
RNAcentral lists this ribosomal RNA (226 nucleotides) under uncultured bacterium. RNAcentral describes it as "partial 16S ribosomal RNA". It matches the Rfam family "Bacterial small subunit ribosomal RNA", at positions 538 to 763 of the family's 1533-position model. The record is from RNAcentral.